This is a long non-coding RNA of Carassius carassius (crucian carp), 378 nucleotides long. RefSeq lists it as uncharacterized. The transcript is spliced from 2 exons. Lineage: Eukaryota; Metazoa; Chordata; Actinopteri; Cypriniformes; Cyprinidae. The record is from RefSeq and is a predicted model, not a curated record.
CACCAUUAAAGCACUGAAUCCAUUUCCUUCUUUCAUCUCUCUGACCACCCACAUCAAACAUACUGACACACAGGGAGAAAGAAAUAAGAAAUGCUUCUGUAUGACAACUUAACAAAUAAUAUUUAUAUAAAUGUAGUAACUGAAUCCAGUUAUGAAUCAUUCAAUCAAUGUUAGAUAUAUAGUGAGGUCCCAAUGUCUGAGAAUACUAGUGCAAAUGCCUUUUUUUCCCCUUGCCACUGUUGCCUUUAAGCUUGCUUAGUUGUAGACGCCUAAUUUUUGGCAAUACUGUAGACUUGAUUCCACAGACACUAUUUGAAGUGAACUGAAUUAAACUGGAUGAUGACAUCACCGAAUCAAUUAACUGACUUCAGCUAAAAA